AAGGGUAUAGCUCAGUGGUAGAGCGCCUGCCUAGAAUGCAUAAGAUCCUGGGUUCGUUCCCUAGUACCUCCA
RNAcentral lists this transfer RNA (72 nucleotides) under Camelus bactrianus (Bactrian camel). It matches the Rfam family "tRNA". From Rfam's summary of the family: Transfer RNA (tRNA) molecules are approximately 80 nucleotides in length. Their secondary structure includes four short double-helical elements and three loops (D, anti-codon, and T loops). Further hydrogen bonds mediate the characteristic L-shaped molecular structure. tRNAs have two regions of fundamental functional importance: the anti-codon, which is responsible for specific mRNA codon recognition, and the 3' end, to which the tRNAs corresponding amino acid is attached (by aminoacyl-tRNA synthetases). tRNAs cope with the degeneracy of the genetic code in two manners: having more than one tRNA (with a specific anti-codon) for a particular amino acid; and 'wobble' base-pairing, i.e. permitting non-standard base-pairing at the 3rd anti-codon position. RNAcentral also lists the same sequence under 2 other names. The record is from Rfam by way of RNAcentral. Lineage: Eukaryota; Metazoa; Chordata; Mammalia; Artiodactyla; Camelidae.